This is a non-coding RNA of Daphnia pulex (common water flea), 74 nucleotides long. Lineage: Eukaryota; Metazoa; Arthropoda; Branchiopoda; Diplostraca; Daphniidae. The record is from Rfam.
GGCCAGUUAGCUCAGUUGGUUAAAGCGCCGUCCUGGUAACGCGGAGGUCAUGAGUUCGAUCCUAUUACAGGUCA